This 78-nucleotide small RNA is filed under the name Flavivirga aquatica. Its description in RNAcentral is "Algibacter sp. SK-16 Flavo-1 RNA". It matches the Rfam family "Flavo-1 RNA". The record is from Rfam by way of RNAcentral. Lineage: Bacteria; Pseudomonadati; Bacteroidota; Flavobacteriia; Flavobacteriales; Flavobacteriaceae.
UUUUAUGCGUUAGCGAUUGCAGUGAAAAUCCUUUUGAGAGGAACGAGCAAAAGAUUGUAACGAAAAGCGCGACCCUUG